CUGUUGAAUUCACCUCAGAUCAGUGUUGCUGUAAUUCCUGAUCUAUGGAAAGAAGAAUUGAAUAAGCGAGCAACGCCACAACUACAGGGCCUGUUCUUUCUCUACUCAUAAUUUAAGUAACUGGAUUAUCCGUUGAAUUUGUUUCUUCCUCUGACUGCUUUCUCCAUACCAACAACUACGACUGGUCUUCAGCUGCGCUCCCCGGUCUGCUGUAUUCUCCAGUCCAGAGUUUCACUGCCCAGUGUUUGAAUUUUAAUUUAUAUAUUUAUUUAUAUAUUUAUUUACAUUUUAAUGAUUUCUUGUUUACUUUUCUUGUUUGUUUACCCUUUAGUUUAAUUUAUAUAUAUAUACUUUUAUAUAUUUAUAUAUAUAUAUCUAAACUUUAUUUUAUACUGUUUGCUUAUAAUUAGAUACUGUAUGUGUACUGUAUGUAUUAAAUGUUGUGAAAUAUAUAAUAAAAAGUUUGAUUAU
Danio rerio (zebrafish) is the source of this 471-nucleotide non-coding RNA. The record is from Ensembl. Lineage: Eukaryota; Metazoa; Chordata; Actinopteri; Cypriniformes; Danionidae.